AGAGUUUGAUCCUGGCUCAGGAUGAACGCUGGCGGCGUGCUUAACACAUGCAAGUCGAACGAUCCUUCGGGAUAGUGGCGGACGGGUGAGUAACGCGUGGGAAUCUGCCCUCAGGAGGGGGAUAACGGCUGGAAACGGCCGCUAAUACCCCAUAUGCCGAGAGGUGAAAUGAAUUUCGCCUGAGGAUGAGCCCGCGUCUGAUUAGCUAGUUGGUGGGGUAAAGGCCUACCAAGGCAACGAUCAGUAGCUGGUCUGAGAGGAUGAUCAGCCGCACUGGGACUGAGACACGGCCCAGACUCCUACGGGAGGCAGCAGUGGGGAAUUUUCCGCAAUGGGCGAAAGCCUGACGGAGCAACGCCGCGUGAGGGAUGAAGGCCUCUGGGCUGUAAACCUCUUUUCUCAAGGAAGAAGACCUGACGGUACUUGAGGAAUAAGCCACGGCUAAUUCCGUGCCAGCAGCCGCGGUAAUACGGGAGUGGCAAGCGUUAUCCGGAAUUAUUGGGCGUAAAGCGUCCGCAGGCGGCCUUGUAAGUCUGUUGUUAAAGCGUGGAGCUCAACUCCAUUUAAGCAAUGGAAACUACAAGGCUGGAGUGUGGUAGGGGCAGAGGGAAUUCCCGGUGUAGCGGUGAAAUGCGUAGAUAUCGGGAAGAACACCAGUGGCGAAGGCGCUCUGCUGGGCCAUAACUGACGCUCAUGGACGAAAGCCAGGGGAGCGAAAGGGAUUAGAUACCCCUGUAGUCCUGGCCGUAAACGAUGAACACUAGGUGUCGGGGGAAUCGACCCCCUCGGUGUCGUAGCCAACGCGUUAAGUGUUCCGCCUGGGGAGUACGCACGCAAGUGUGAAACUCAAAGGAAUUGACGGGGGCCCGCACAAGCGGUGGAGUAUGUGGUUUAAUUCGAUGCAACGCGAAGAACCUUACCAGGGUUUGACAUCCUGCGAACCCCUGAGAAAUCGGGGGGUGCCUUCGGGAGCGCAGAGACAGGUGGUGCAUGGCUGUCGUCAGCUCGUGUCGUGAGAUGUUGGGUUAAGUCCCGCAACGAGCGCAACCCACGUCUUUAGUUGCCAGCAUUCAGUUGGGCACUCUAGAGAGACCGCCGGUGAUAAACCGGAGGAAGGUGUGGAUGACGUCAAGUCAUCAUGCCCCUUACAUCCUGGGCUACACACGUACUACAAUGCUACGGACAAAGGGCAGCAAGCUCGCGAGAGUUAGCAAAUCCCAUAAACCGUGGCUCAGUUCAGAUCGUAGGCUGCAACUCGCCUACGUGAAGGAGGAAUCGCUAGUAAUCGCAGGUCAGCAUACUGCGGUGAAUACGUUCCCGGGCCUUGUACAUACCGCCCGUCACACCAUGGAAGUUGGCCAUGCCCG
RNAcentral lists this ribosomal RNA (1367 nucleotides) under metagenome. Its description in RNAcentral is "bacterial SSU rRNA". It matches the Rfam family "Bacterial small subunit ribosomal RNA". The record is from RNAcentral.